Molecule: long non-coding RNA, 529 nt
Organism: Oryzias melastigma (Indian medaka)
Lineage: Eukaryota; Metazoa; Chordata; Actinopteri; Beloniformes; Adrianichthyidae
Exons: 3
Source: RefSeq, a predicted model, not a curated record
AGAUGUUUGCUGUUAUUCAGACUAAACAGAACCGUCUGUGUUCAUGUCAAAGUCCAUCAGCUGUUCAUGAAGAAGCAGAUCCUCCAACACUCUGAUGUUUCUGUGUUUGCAGAGGUCAACAGGUCACACAGAGAGUCCAGUCUGCAGCAUCCAGCUGUGGAUCCAUGAAGAGUGACCGGUCCAAAGAUGGUCCUCCAGACUUCAGAACUGAACCAGGACCUUCAGACUCGCAUGUCCUUGGAGAGAAGAAGAGGAGCGGACCCCAGUCUGCAGAAAGACCCAGAGCUGCAGAUGUUGGUCUCCAGUAGAUUUUUGGAGAACAUCAGAUCAGUCUGAGGAGCAGAAGUGAACAUGUGUCUGAAGGAACUGAAGAAGCAGGAAGAGAAACGCUCCUCAACGAGGUCUACACUGAGCUCUACAUCAAAGAGGAACUGAGACGAGAGACUUACACACAACAUGAGGUGAUGCAGCUGGAGACAACCACCAAGACAAACAAGCUCCAUGGCACUGCAAUCAAGAACCCAGACAU